GACGAACGCUGGCGGCGGGCUUAACACAUGCAAGUCGAACGGAUAGGCCCUGCUUGUUUGGGGUGCUCGAGGGGCGAACGGGUGAGUAACAUGUGAGUAACCUGCCCUGUACUGUGGGAUAACUUCAAGAAACUGGUGCUAAUACCUGAUAGGAGCUCCUGCUGCAUGGUGGGGGUUGGAACGUUUCGGUGGUUGGGGAUGGACGCGCGGCUUAUCAGCUUGUUGGUGGGGUAGUGGCUUACCAAGGCUUUGACGGGUAGCCGGCCUGAGAGGGUGACCGGCCACAUUGGGCCUGAGAUACGGCCCAGACUACUACGGGAGGCAGCAGUGGAGAAUAUUGCACAAUGGGCGGAAGCCUGAUGCAGCAACGCCGCGUGCGGGAUGACGGCCAUGGGGUUGUAAAGCGCUUUAGCCUGUGACGAAGCGUGAGUGACGGUAAUGGGUAAAGAAGCACCGGCUAACUACGUG
Molecule: ribosomal RNA, 468 nt
Filed under: uncultured bacterium
Lineage: Bacteria
Description: partial 16S ribosomal RNA
Rfam family: Bacterial small subunit ribosomal RNA
Source: RNAcentral